CCCCCUCAGCCAGCGUGCAGUGAGCCACUGCGCACUGAGGCCUGGAGCAAGAGGCCGGCCAUGGCGGACCAAGCCAUCGUGGAGAUCUCGUGCACGAAGCUCAGAUCCGCCAUUGGCGAUGAGGCCACCAGCUUCACCGGCGACCUGCAGGAAAUGCUGGACACGCUGGUGGCCAUACAGGCGGUGAUGCCGAAUGCCGAGAGGGUGUUGGGCGGUUGGGAGUCGGAGCGCGGCAAGGAGUGAGCGAAGAAGGUCAGGGCCGCCGCCUACGGGGUCUCCGACCUGGUGGACGAGAUCAAGUUGGAAGCGCCGAGGACGCCGGCAGCCGGAAAGAUGACGAAGAAGGUCGACCUCCCUGCUGAGAACAAGAUGUCUGACAAGGUGAAGGAGAUUAAAGAAAACCUGAAAGGGGUACUGAAAGAGUCGAUUGAGUUCAAUGCAGUUCGUGCUCGAAGUCGUGCACCGAACCCAGUUACUACUGGUACUACUGCACCAGCACCACCAGGUGCCAUCAUUGGAAGGGAUGAAGAUAGGGAGAAGAUCCUUGCUCACAUAUCUUCGCGCUGCGCCACUGAAGGCCCCGUCAUUCUUCUCAUCUCCGGCGAUGGAGGCAUAGGCAAGACCGCAAUGGCAGAAAUGCUUUUCAAGGACACAAGAUUCAGAUGCCACUCUCGGGUGUGGGUCCACACCUCUCGCUACUUGCACGAAAUAGGCAGGUCUGUAAUUUGCCAAGUCUCUGGGAAAGAAGAGAUGAGCCAUGCUACUGAAGAUGACGUGGACAGUAUAACGGACCGCCUCCAUGAGCUGCUCAGUGGCAUCAAGGUGCUCAUCGUUUUAGAUGACCUGUACAUGUAUUACCAUGAGUGGGAGCCCUUGAAGAGGAUGUUCUCUGUAAGUGACAAGGGCAGUCAGGUGAUCGUGAUCGCAACAACACAACAAGAGAAGGAAGAUUCUGUGAUUCAGUCAUACAGUCUAGAACCUUUGCAUGAGGACAUGUGCUGCGCAAUCAUCAAGCAAAUUGCCCGCCGCUCCGAGGAUAGUAGAUCCACUAAUAGAGAAGAUUUGGAGCGGAUGGCACGAAAGAUUGCAGAGCUCUGCAAGGGUUUACCGUUAGCAGCUCAAUUACUUGGCCGCUUGCUGAAGUACAAACAUUUUGAAGAAUGGCCAGCACUACUGGAUGAAAGUCUCUGGUCAACAGACAGUCCUCUUGAUCUGGCCUUGGAAUUGAGCUACAGAAGCAUGCCACCAAAUUUAAGGCUAUGCUUAGCUUAUUGCGCCAUCUCAAACAUGCAGCCUUUUCGAGUCAAAGAAGAUGUCAUUCAUCAAUGGAUUGCUCUCGGUCUUAUUGAGCCAUCCAACAAUACAAUUUCUGCUAUGAAGCUCGCCGAGGAAUAUAUUGGGAGGCUUUUGGACAUGUCAUUCCUUCAAACUGCAAAAUUACAACAGGAUAGUGGAAAGGAUGACACAGGUGUAGUCGUGUUCAAGAUGCACGAGAGUAUCCGUGAGUUCGGACAUAAGGCUAUAGAAGCUGAGUUGGGGUUAGUAGAUGAUCAAGAGGAUGAAAAUGUGACUGAACACUGCCGAUAUGUACUCAUUGCCGAAUGUGACACCUGGCCAUCUAAGUCACUAAUGCAUGCCCAGAAAAUCUGCGCCAUAAAUUGCUUUCUCUGUAGCAAAAUGGAGCUAAGUGAUGAUUCAUUUUCAGUUCCCAGCUGUCUGCGUGUCUUGAAUUUAGAGAAGACGUCCGUACAGAAGCUACCACAUUCUGUCAUCUGGAGCAAUUAGGGUAUCUUAAUCUAUCAGGCUGCUCUAGAAUAGUUGAUCUUCCAGAAUAUUUUGGGAAUUUAAAGAAUCUGCUGCAUAUAAACUUAUCAGGCUGCUCUGAGCUGGUCAAUCUGCCUGAAUCAUUUGGAAUGCUAAAAAUUCUGCGGCACAUCAACUUAUCAGGCUGUUCUGGACUGGCAACUCUUGAUGAACCAUUUGUGAAGCUUAUAAAUCUGGUGCAUAUCGACUUAUCAGGUUGCUGCGCACUGAUAAAUCUGCCAGAAUUUUUCGGGAAGCUAGUAAAUUUGAUGCAUCUCAACUUAUCAGGUUGUUCUGGCCUAGUAGCUCUGCCGGGAUCAUUUGGAAUGCUAAUAAAGUUGGUGCAUAUCAGCUUAUCUGGCUGCUCUGGGCUAAAAAAACUGCCAGAAUCAUUUGGGAGGCUAACGAGUUUGGUUCACAUCAACUUAUCAGGUUGCUCUAGUCUAUCAACUCUACCCAAAUCUAUUGGGUAUCUAAGAAAUUUAUUGCAUAUUGAUCUGUCCCGCUGCUAUGGACUAUCAAAGCUGCCAAAAUCAUUUGGGAAGCUACAAAAAUUGGAGCAUAUUAGCUUGUCAGGUUGCUCUGGACUAGUAACUCUACCUGAAUCCUUUGGGGGUCUGACAAAUCUGUUGCAUAUUAAUCUGUCACACUGCUCUGGACUAUCAAAACUGCCAGAAUCAUUUAGAAACCUGAAAAAUUUGCUUUAUCUGGAUUUAUCGUUCUGGUCUUGUUUUGAAGGCAUCCAGAUAGCUCUUGGUGGCCUUACCAGUCUCCAACAUUUGAACUUGUCACACCCUUGCUGCUAUCGUGCUGACCACAUCCAUCUUGAAGGACUAAAAGAGGUUUUUCGCAAGCUUAAUAGACUCCAGUAUUUAAACCUAUCCAUGCUGCUGAAUCCUAUCUCUUACAACCAGCCAGAAGAGAAAAACUGUGAAUAUAUUGAAUCUAUCAACGGCUUGUACAGUCUAGAGCAUCUGGACUUAUCUCAUAACAUAUUUCUUCGUGAUCUACCUGAAAGUCUAAGUGAUCUCUAUAGGCUGCAUACACUGGACCUCUCAGGUUGCAUUAGACUGAAGAGAUUAGGAAAAUGGAUGACUGAAAUGGACUCUCUGAAAUCAGUAAUUCUAAGGGACUAUGAGGGUCUGGAAAGCUACCAGUUUGAAGUUGGUGUUGAUAAUAGUAUAAACAACUAUGUACAACUAGAGGAUGUAACUUCUAAAGUGUUGGAGAUAAGAUGUCUUGAGAGGAUCAAGUAUUUGGAGGAAGCAAAGAGAAUAAGAUUGGUAGAGAAGCGAAAGCUUCAGAAGUUGAAGCUUUGUUGGACCGUGGACUCUAAAUCUAGCACGUCUAUCGACGAGAAUAAAUCUGAGGUGGAGGAGAAUAAACCUAACAUGUCCGUGGAGGAAAAUAUACCUGACAGGUCCCUGGAGGAGAAUGAACAUAAGGGUUUGGUGCAAGACAAUAAACCUGACAUAUCCGAGGAGGAGAAUAAACCUGAGGAUUUUGUGCAGGAAAAUAAACCUGACAAGUCCAAGGAGGAGAAUAUACUUGAUAGGUCCCUGGAGGAGAAUGAACCUAAGGGUUCUACGCAUGAGAAUAAACCUAAGAGUUCUGUGCAGGAGAAUACAUGUAAAGAGUCUGAGAAGGAAAGUAUACCUGAUAGGUCCGUGGAAGAGAUUGAACAUGAGGGUCCUGCGCAGGAGGAUAUACUUAACAAGUCAAAGGAGGAGAAUAUACAUGAUAAAUAUGUCGAGGAGAUUAUUGAGGAUGAGGAUUCUACUGUGCAAGAGAAUAAACCUGACAGUUCCAAGGUGGAGAAUAAACCUAACAAGUCCGUGGAGGAGAAGGGUUCUGUGCAGGAGAAUAAACCUAACGAGCCAGAGGAGGAGAAUAUUAAUAUACCUGAUAGGUCCAUGGAGGAGAUUAAACAAGAGGGUUCUUUGCAAGAGGAUAAACCUAACAGGCCUGAGGAGGAGAAUAAACCUGACAAAUCUGUGGAGGAGAUUGUACCUAAGGGUUCUGUGCAGGAGAAUAAACCUGACAAAUCUGUGGAGAUUGUACCUGAGGGUUAUGUGCAGGAGAAUAAAUCUGACAAAUCUGUGGAGGAGAUUGUACCUGAGGGUUCUGUGCAGGAUAAUAAACCUGAUAGGUCCGUGGAUGAGAUUGAUUACUUUUAUGGUUGCAGGCGACCUAAUAGUCCCUUGAGGGAGGAUAAACCUGACGGUGCUGUUGAGGAGAAUGUUUUGCUAGGAGUACUAGUGCCACCACAAAAUCUGCAGUGCCUUGAGCUACAUGGUUAUAGCGGCAAAACCUGCCUUCCUUGCUGGUGGACCGAGGAGAGAUAUUCAGCUAAUCUCCUUAAUCUUGUGGAGGUUACCAUGGAGAACUUUCCUAGUUGCAGGACCCUGCCACCAUUUGGCAUGUUACCAAACCUGCAACAGUUAGUUCUCAGAAGGAUGGGCAGCAUCACGAGAAUCAACGCUAGUGACCUCAGUUGCAGCAAGAACAAUCGACUCAAGUGUACCAUAGAUGAUAUGCCUAGCCUGGAAGAGUUCAACACCACAUACAUCAGAGGUGAUAAAAAGUCUACGUUCUCAGCUAUUGAGGAACUGGUUGUACAAAAAUGUCCCUUGGUGAGGUUUGGGUCUCUCCCACCUAGAGCCCGGAGGUUGGUAAUAUCAGAAUGUGAUAGAGGGAUGAAUUUUUUGGGGGGAAAGCAAGACGAACAUAAGGAGAGCCCUUCUUGCACCUCUGCCCCACUAACUGAAUUGGUGGUCAAAAGCUGCAGUAUGCCUCUGGACCAGUGGAGUCUGCUUAACCACCUCUCUACCCUCCCCAGCUUAACUAUCGAGAAUUGCUCGCUAUAUGAUCUAUGUUUCUCUGGUAGUGACGACAAUAAUUCACGACCAGAGUACUUGGGUUACCUCACCUCUCUCCAGGAACUGAAGAUCGUGUCCUGUGAAGACGUUAGAUAUCCGACGCCUCUGCAGUGGCUCAUACAAAAACUGACCUCGCUUAAGUCGCUGCACUUCAUUGAUUGCAAGGAGUUAUGGGAACUUCCGGAGGAUUUAGGGGAUCUCACCUCUCUUCAGAAGCUUGCCUUCGAGAGAUGCCCUAGGAUUGAUUCUCUCCCGGACAGCAUAAGUAAACUCACCAACCUCAAGGAUCUGCAUAUUUCAGACUGUCCAAGAUUGAAGCGGUGGUGCGAAAACAAGGAGAACAAGAGCCGUCUCGGUCACCUCCGGACCAAAAUAUGAGUAUGCUCACAGAAUGCUUCUUGUUGGCGAGUCCCUUUAAUUGCAUGAUGCUUGCUGUUCACUGUCCACUCAUUUCCAACGGCCGUUCACACCUCUUUUUGCUUGUAGAUUGCAUUGCUGCUUUGGUUUCUCUGUAUAUUUGUAAGCCCUGUUACUGAAUGGAUCAAUCAACUAAUUAUCCAUGAGUAUCUUUACUA
RNA transcript from Panicum virgatum (switchgrass), 5257 nucleotides. It is a transcript of the gene named putative disease resistance protein RGA1, with no coding region annotated. The transcript is spliced from 3 exons. The record is from RefSeq and is a predicted model, not a curated record. Lineage: Eukaryota; Viridiplantae; Streptophyta; Magnoliopsida; Poales; Poaceae.